Molecule: small nucleolar RNA, 107 nt
Filed under: Gossypium barbadense (sea-island cotton)
Lineage: Eukaryota; Viridiplantae; Streptophyta; Magnoliopsida; Malvales; Malvaceae
Also listed under: 1 other name
Description: Plant small nucleolar RNA R71
Rfam family: Plant small nucleolar RNA R71
About the family: R71 is a member of the C/D box family of snoRNAs containing the C (UGAUGA) and D (CUGA) box motifs. Multiple nearly identical copies of this snoRNA have been identified in Arabidopsis, and it is thought to function as a 2'-O-ribose methylation guide for 18S ribosomal RNA.
Source: Rfam by way of RNAcentral
AAUCCAUGCAUCGGACAUUUUCUAAAUAACUCCUUAAAUUGCUCUUAUGCUUCAAAUAACGUUUUAUCUUCAAAUUACAGAAAAGAUGCCAUAUCAUUUCUCAACUU